UACGGAGGAUGCAAGCGUUAUCCGGAAUGAUUGGGCGUAAAGCGUCCGCAGGUGGCUAUGUAAGUCUGCUGUUAAAGAGUGAGGCUCAACCUCAUAAGAGCAGUGGAAACUACAUGGCUAGAGUGCGUUCGGGGCAGAGGGAAUUCCUGGUGUAGCGGUGAAAUGCGUAGAGAUCAGGAAGAACAUCGGUGGCGAAAGCGCUCUGCUAGGCCGCAACUGACACUCAUGGACGAAAGCUAGGGGAGCGAAUGGG
This 253-nucleotide ribosomal RNA is filed under the name uncultured bacterium. RNAcentral's name for it is "partial 16S ribosomal RNA". It matches the Rfam family "Bacterial small subunit ribosomal RNA", at positions 524 to 776 of the family's 1533-position model. The record is from RNAcentral.